This 400-nucleotide ribosomal RNA is filed under the name uncultured bacterium. RNAcentral describes it as "bacterial SSU rRNA". It matches the Rfam family "Bacterial small subunit ribosomal RNA", at positions 356 to 773 of the family's 1533-position model. The record is from RNAcentral.
GGGGAAUAUUGCACAAUGGACGGAAGUCUGAUGCAGCAACGCCGCGUGGAGGAUGACGCAUUUCGGUGUGUAAACUCCUUUUAUAUAAGAAGAUAAUGACGGUAUUAUAUGAAUAAGCACCGGCUAACUCCGUGCCAGCAGCCGCGGUAAUACGGGGGGUGCAAGCGUUACUCGGAAUCACUGGGCGUAAAGAGCGUGUAGGCGGAUUGGUAAGUUGGAUGUGAAAGCCUAUGGCUCAACCAUAGAAUUGCUUCCAAAACUGCUAGUCUAGAGUGUGGGAGAGGUAGAUGGAAUUUCUGGUGUAGGGGUAAAAUCCGUAGAGAUCAGAAGGAAUACCGAUUGCGAAGGCGAUCUACUGGAACAUAACUGACGCUGAGACGCGAAAGCGUGGGGAGCAAAC